GACGAACGCUGGCGGCGUGCUUAACACAUGCAAGUCGAACGGAAAGGCCCUGCUUUUGUGGGGUGCUCGAGUGGCGAACGGGUGAGUAACACGUGAGUAACCUGCCCUUGACUUUGGGAUAACUUCAGGAAACUGGGGCUAAUACCGGAUAGGAGCUCCUGCUGCAUGGUGGGGGUUGGAAAGUUUCGGCGGUUGGGGAUGGACUCGCGGCUUAUCAGCUUGUUGGUGGGGUAGUGGCUUACCAAGGCUUUGACGGGUAGCCGGCCUGAGAGGGUGACCGGCCACAUUGGGACUGAGAUACGGCCCAGACUCCUACGGGAGGCAGCAGUGGGGAAUAUUGCACAAUGGGCGGAAGCCUGAUGCAGCAACGCCGCGUGCGGGAUAACGGCCUUCGGGUUGUAAACCGCUUUCGCCUGUGACGAAGCGUGAGUGACGGUAAUGUGUAAAGAAGCACCGGCUAACUACGUG
This 468-nucleotide ribosomal RNA is filed under the name uncultured bacterium. RNAcentral's name for it is "partial 16S ribosomal RNA". It matches the Rfam family "Bacterial small subunit ribosomal RNA", at positions 28 to 507 of the family's 1533-position model. The record is from RNAcentral.